RNAcentral lists this ribosomal RNA (253 nucleotides) under uncultured bacterium. Its description in RNAcentral is "partial 16S ribosomal RNA". It matches the Rfam family "Bacterial small subunit ribosomal RNA", at positions 524 to 776 of the family's 1533-position model. The record is from RNAcentral.
UACGAAGGGAGCUAGCGUUGUUCGGAAUCACUGGGCGUAAAGCGCACGUAGGCGGAUGUGUCAGUCAGGGGUGAAAUCCCGGAGCUCAACUCCGGAACUGCCCUUGAUACAGCACGUCUUGAGUCCGGAAGAGGUGGGUGGAAUUCCUAGUGUAGAGGUGAAAUUCGUAGAUAUUAGGAAGAACACCGGUGGCGAAGGCGGCCCACUGGUCCGGUACUGACGCUGAGGUGCGAAAGCGUGGGGAGCAAACAGG